This is a long non-coding RNA of Triplophysa dalaica, 405 nucleotides long. RefSeq lists it as uncharacterized. The transcript is spliced from 3 exons. Lineage: Eukaryota; Metazoa; Chordata; Actinopteri; Cypriniformes; Nemacheilidae. The record is from RefSeq and is a predicted model, not a curated record.
UUCAUUCAUAAAGUUGUGAUGUGUUGUGCAGUUGUUGUAUUUCUGAUGAUUGUAACGACACUUCUGAUCUUCUUCAUCAGCAGGAAACACAGAAAAAUAAAUAAAGAUUAUCAGACCGGUGAAGAGGAGAUCACUUAUGCAGAACCAACCUUGUGUGAAAGAACAACACAUAAACCGGAGUCUGAGAUGACGGAGGUGCUUUACACAUAUUACAGCAUUUCAAAUAAUUAAAUUAAAAUCAAAUUGACUGAAUUCAGUGUUUAAAACAGAGAUGUAUUUGACUUUUCAUUCACUAUUAAUAUCAUUUCUAUCAUUAAACUCACACAAGUACAUGUUUGAUUGAAAUGCAGUUGUGUGUUGUGUUAUGAUGACCUCUAGUGGUGAGAUGAUGAAACUGAUGUCUGA